Molecule: ribosomal RNA, 768 nt
Filed under: Triticum aestivum (bread wheat)
Lineage: Eukaryota; Viridiplantae; Streptophyta; Magnoliopsida; Poales; Poaceae
Description: partial small subunit ribosomal RNA
Source: RNAcentral
AUGACCAUACGAAAACUAAUAAAUAUCCCGUGGCACUGCUUCAUUUUCCAUCUAUCCAGCUUGUUGUUGCAGGUCAUCACCACGAGAAGCAUCAAUCCAGUAGCCAGCUUUGUGCAUGUACCAGGGAGCAAAUCAAUCUUUUUCUCACAUAUAUGUCUCUCCCCGUACAAGUUUUCAGCACCUCACAUAGUAACAAUUUCAAGACAUUCUCCCACAUUGUCUCUUCAGCAGCAGCAAACUUGGCCAAGCAACUGCACAAAAGGCAGUAUACACAUGCCCGGAGGAGCAACACACAGAAAUUCAUCUCAACCUCUCUCACUUUCUCUCUUAUUCUCUAGGGGCGUGUUUGGUUGCCUGCAUAUGGCCCCGCCUGGCCCGCACGGAAAGAACUUGGCCCGUUUGAUUGCCUACGUUUACUGUGCGGCCUGCAUUACACGGAACUUAAAGCACGUCCAGGCCAGGCCCAGGGGAAACGCCCGAAUCGGCGGUAGCUCGCGAGCCUGGCUCGGGCGACGCGCUUCUCUCCCCGUGCGACCAGGGAGAUGGCGCGAGCUUGCCCGCGUCGCCGAAAAAUCGGCGGGAGGAUUUCGGCUCACCUCCCGCCGAGUCCACCCUAGCCCCCUCCCUCACCGCCCCAACUCCCGCCACCAUUAUCCCUCUGUUCGAGCUUUCCCGCCGACGCGCAUCGGCACCGACGAGCAGGUAAGCGGCGCAUCUUCAUCGGCCAGCGGUCCACGGCGUCGACGCUUCUUCACCGGUCGGCGUUGA